GAUGCUAACGAGGCGGGAAUCGAAGUGGGCGACCUAUCUACCGCCUGUGUCUAUCUCCUGUCAAGUAUGCUCCCCAGACAUAGACUACGAACAGGGUAGUACUUUUGGAAUCAUCGCGUGAACAUAACAUUAAGUUACGAAUGUAAUUCCCGAGGGAUCGACCACUAUUCUAAAUAUAGUAAGGCGGGGAACUGUUGUUCAUUGGAGCGCCGGAGUGCAGAGGUUGUUUCCAUCAUUGAAGUCAGAGUGUGGGACUGAGCCUUCCGAAUGAAAAAAACAAAAAAGUGCUUAGUUUCGUUGGAAAAACCAACGCAAAUAUCAUAUUGACUUUCUCUCGCCCUACUUCUAAAGAUAGAUAGAAAAGGUUGGAGAGAGUGACUUUCAACAAUUCUCUCCUUUCUAAAGCUGCGAAAGGCGGCCCCCCCCCAGAACAAAGCCCACCCCUCUUUUCCCCCUUUAAUGAAAGACCCUCGCCUCGCUUCCUAUUCAUUUGUGGGUCGGGACCCGAGGGCCUUUUUUUUAUCAAGAGGUGAUUUCGAGAAUCAACCAACCGACAAAUCCGUAGCCCAGGUGACUCACAGCCUCCCUCUCGCCCAAAUGAAAUGGGAUGAAUCAAAUCAAUAAGCUUUUUGAUUGAUUCAGGGCGCAGCGAAGCCAAAUUCAAUCAAGGCAAAGGGGGGCUUACUUUUCCUGACGCUGAGUCAUCCUAUUCAAAUUUAGCUAUGCUAAUGGAACAGGACAAGUUUUCAGAUGAUAUGUGGACCCCCAAGAGAUGAGCGAGAACCUCCAAUUGCUUAGGGGUCGCACUCUGUUCCCGCUUGGUGGACGAGAUCUUCUCCCCUUUUAGCUUAGCUCCCACACACCCUUGCCCUCUUUCACCGAAGAGGAAAGAAGAAUCUUCCAAGCAGACAGAGAUCUAAAUUUCCAUUAGAUUCAUUCCGUUGCUUGCUUUGUUGCAGCAAGAUGAUUAGUCCGAGAGUGCUGGAGAGAAGAGAAAGCGGUAAAAACCUCUCUUCUUCGGUCACCGAGCAGUCGGACGACUCUUCAGUAACCCAGGAUGACCCCUUCGGCGCUUCUUUCGCUGUAUACCCCCUCCAUCCUUCGAAAAUAAAGAAGGGUACUAUAUAUAUAUUCUUACUAUAUUUCUUUAAUAUAUAUAUAUAUUGUAGGGCCCCAGAACGCUAAAAAGUGGGGGAACAAGAGUUGUCACGAUAGGAAGGAAAAAUGACUAUAAGGAACCAACGAUUCUCUCUUCUUAAACAACCUAUAUCCUCCACACUUAAUCAGCAUUUGAUAGAUUAUCCAACCCCGAGCAAUCUUAGUUAUUGGUGGGGGUUCGGUUCGUUAGCUGGUAUUUGUUUAGUCAUUCAGAUAGUGACUGGCGUUUUUUUAGCUAUGCAUUACACACCUCAUGUGGAUCUAGCUUUCAACAGCGUAGAACACGUUAUGAGAGAUGUUGAAGGGGGCUGGUUGCUACGUUAUAUGCAUGCUAAUGGGGCAAGUAUGUUUCUCAUUGUGGUUUACCUUCAUAUUUUUCGUGGUCUAUAUCAUGCGAGUUAUAGCAGUCCUAGGGAAUUUGUUCGGUGUCUCGGAGUUGUAAUCUUCCUAUUAAUGAUUGUGACAGCUUUUAUAGGAUACGUACUACCGUGGGGUCAGAUGAGCUUUUGGGGAGCUACAGUAAUUACAAGCUUAGCUAGCGCCAUACCUGUAGUAGGGGAUACCAUAGUGACUUGGCUUUGGGGUGGUUUCUCCGUGGACAAUGCCACCUUAAAUCGUUUUUUUAGUCUUCAUCAUUUACUCCCCUUUAUUUUAGUAGGCGCCAGUCUUCUUCAUCUGGCCGCAUUGCAUCAAUAUGGAUCAAAUAAUCCAUUGGGUGUACAUUCAGAGAUGGAUAAAAUAUCUUUUUACCCUUAUUUUUAUGUAAAGGAUCUAGUAGGUUGGGUAGCUUUUGCUAUCUUUUUUUCUAUUUGGAUUUUUUAUGCUCCCAAUGUUUUGGGGCAUCCCGACAAUUAUAUACCUGCUAAUCCGAUGCCCACCCCGCCUCAUAUUGUGCCGGAAUGGUAUUUCCUACCGAUCCAUGCCAUUCUUCGUAGUAUACCUGACAAAUCGGGAGGUGUAGCCGCAAUAGCACCCGUUUUUAUAUGUCUGUUGGCUUUACCUUUUUUUAAAAGUAUGUAUGUGCGUAGUUCAAGUUUUCGCCCGAUUUACCAAGGAAUAUUUUGGUUGCUUUUGGCGGAUUGCUUAUUACUAGGUUGGAUCGGAUGUCAACCUGUGGAGGCACCAUUUGUUACUAUUGGACAAAUUUCUCCUUUAGUUUUCUUCUUGUUCUUUGCCAUAACGCCCAUUCUGGGACGGGUUGGAAGAGGAAUUCCUAAUUCUUACACUGAGACUGAGCACGCCUGAUCAGUAAAAAAUUCUGACACCAAUCAUUUACAAGUGAGUAUUACACCAAGAA
Molecule: long non-coding RNA, 2455 nt
Filed under: Gossypium raimondii (Peruvian cotton)
Lineage: Eukaryota; Viridiplantae; Streptophyta; Magnoliopsida; Malvales; Malvaceae
Description: long non-coding RNA (GRAI_LNC000386)
Source: RNAcentral